Long non-coding RNA from Culicoides brevitarsis, 753 nucleotides. RefSeq lists it as uncharacterized. Lineage: Eukaryota; Metazoa; Arthropoda; Insecta; Diptera; Ceratopogonidae. The record is from RefSeq and is a predicted model, not a curated record. The transcript is spliced from 3 exons.
UAAAUUCUGAUUAAAUAGGUUGGUAAGUGAAAUUAGUAGGAUAAAUUCUGAUUAAAUAGGUUGGUAAGUGAAAUUAGUAGGAUAAAUUCUGAUUAAAUAGGUUGGUAAGUGAAAUUAGUAGGAUAAAUUCUGAUUAAAUAGGUUGGUAAGUGAAAUUAGUAGGAUAAAUUCUGAUUAAAUAGGUUGGUAAGUGAAAUUAGUAGGAUAAAUUCUGAUUAAAUAGGUUGGUAAGUGAAAUUAGUAGGAUAAAUUCUGAUUAAAUAGGUUGGUAAGUGAAAUUAGUAGGAUAAAUUCUGAUUAAAUAGGUUGGUAAGUGAAAUUAGUAGGAUAAAUUCUGAUUAAAUAGGUUGGUAAGUGAAAUUAGUAGGAUAAAUUCUGAUUAAAUAGGUUGGUAAGUGAAAUUAGUAUGAUAAAUUCUGAUUAAAUAGGUUGGUAAGUGAAAUUAGUAGGAUAAAUUCUGAUUAAAUAGGUUGGUAAGUGAAAUUAGUAGGAUAAAUUCUGAUUAAAUAGGUUGGUAAGUGAAAUUAGUAGGAUAAAUUCUGAUUAAAUAGGUUGGUAAGUGAAAUUAGUAGGAUAAAUUCUGAUUAAAUAGGUUGGUAAGUGAAAUUAGUAGGAUAAAUUCUGAUUAAAUAGGUUGGUAAGUGAAAUUAGUAGGAUAAAUUCUGAUUAAAUAGGUUGGUAAGUGAAAUUAGUAGGAUAAAUUCUGAUUAAAUAGGUUGGUAAGUGAAAUUAGUAGGAUAAAUUCUGUAAGUG